UGGGGAAUAUUGCACAAUGGGGGAAACCCUGAUGCAGCAACGCCGCGUGAGUGAUGACGGCCUUCGGGUUGUAAAGCUCUGUCUUCAGGGACGAUAAUGACGGUACCUGNNGAGGAAGCCACGGCUAACUACGU
This 134-nucleotide ribosomal RNA is filed under the name uncultured bacterium. RNAcentral's name for it is "partial 16S rRNA". It matches the Rfam family "Bacterial small subunit ribosomal RNA", at positions 355 to 506 of the family's 1533-position model. The record is from RNAcentral.